RNAcentral lists this ribosomal RNA (433 nucleotides) under uncultured bacterium. RNAcentral's name for it is "partial 16S ribosomal RNA". It matches the Rfam family "Bacterial small subunit ribosomal RNA", at positions 29 to 507 of the family's 1533-position model. The record is from RNAcentral.
AACGAACGCUGGCGGCAUGCCUAACACAUGCAAGUCGAACGAGACCUUCGGGUCUAGUGGCGCACGGGUGCGUAACGCGUGGGAACCUGCCCUUAGGUUCGGAAUAACUCCCCGAAAGGGGUGCUAAUACCGGAUAAUGUCUUCGGACCAAAGAUUUAUCGCCUUUGGAUGGGCCCGCGUUGGAUUAGCUAGUUGGUAGGGUAAAAGCCUACCAAGGCGACGAUCCAUAGCUGGUCUGAGAGGAUGAUCAGCCACACUGGGACUGAGACACGGCCCAGACUCCUACGGGAGGCAGCAGUGGGGAAUAUUGGACAAUGGGCGAAAUCCUGAUCCAGCAAUGCCGCGUGAGUGAUGAAGGCCUGAGGGUUGUAAAGCUCGUUUACCCGGGAUGAUAAUGACAGUACCGGGAGAAUAAGCUCCGGCUAACUCCGUG